This 292-nucleotide ribosomal RNA is filed under the name uncultured bacterium. RNAcentral's name for it is "partial 16S ribosomal RNA". It matches the Rfam family "Bacterial small subunit ribosomal RNA", at positions 505 to 796 of the family's 1533-position model. The record is from RNAcentral.
GUGUCAGCAGCCGCGGUAAUACGUAGGAGGCAAACGUUGUCCGGAUUUACUGGGUGUAAAGGGUGCUCAGGCGGUCUUGUAAGUUAGUAGUGAAAUCUCAGAGCUUAACUCUGAAACUGCUUUUAAUACUGCAAGGCUUGAGUGCAGAAGAGGCGGAUGGAAUUUCUGGUGUAGCAGUGAAAUGCGUAGAUAUCAGAAAGAACACCAGUGGCGAAGGCGGUCCGCUGGUCUGUCACUGACGCUAAAGCACGAAAGCGUGGGGAGCAAACAGGAUUAGAUACCCUCGUAGUCC